RNAcentral lists this transfer RNA (74 nucleotides) under Bacteroidota bacterium. RNAcentral describes it as "Bacteroidetes bacterium (freshwater metagenome) tRNA-Glu". It matches the Rfam family "tRNA". From Rfam's summary of the family: Transfer RNA (tRNA) molecules are approximately 80 nucleotides in length. Lineage: Bacteria; Pseudomonadati; Bacteroidota. The record is from RNAcentral.
GGCCCGUUCGUCUAGUGGCCUAGGACAUUUGGUUUUCAUCCAAAAGAUCAGGGGUUCGACUCCCCUACGGGCUA